AAAACUUUCAACGCUUGGCGGCGUGCUUAACACAUGCAAGUCGAACGAUGAUGCCCAGCUUGCUGGGUGGAUUAGUGGCGAACGGGUGAGUAACACGUGAGUAACCUGCCCCUGACUCUGGGAUAAGCGUUGGAAACGACGUCUAAUACUGGAUAUGAUCACUGGCCGCAUGGUCUGGUGGUGGAAAGAUUUUUUGGUUGGGGAUGGACUCGCGGCCUAUCAGCUUGUUGGUGAGGUAAUGGCUCACCAAGGCGACGACGGGUAGCCGGCCUGAGAGGGUGACCGGCCACACUGGGACUGAGACACGGCCCAGACUCCUACGGGAGGCAGCAGUGGGGAAUAUUGCACAAUGGGCGAAAGCCUGAUGCAGCAACGCCGCGUGAGGGAUGACGGCCUUCGGGUUGUAAACCUCUUUUAGUAGGGAAGAAGCGAAAGUGACGGUACCUGCAGAAAAAGCACCGGCUAACUACGUGCCAGCAGCCGCGGUAAUACGUAGGGUGCAAGCGUUGUCCGGAAUUAUUGGGCGUAAAGAGCUCGUAGGCGGUUUGUCGCGUCUGCUGUGAAAUCCCGAGGCUCAACCUCGGGCUUGCAGUGGGUACGGGCAGACUAGAGUGCGGUAGGGGAGAUUGGAAUUCCUGGUGUAGCGGUGGAAUGCGCAGAUAUCAGGAGGAACACCGAUGGCGAAGGCAGAUCUCUGGGCCGUAACUGACGCUGAGGAGCGAAAGCAUGGGGAGCGAACAGGAUUAGAUACCCUGGUAGUCCAUGCCGUAAACGUUGGGCGCUAGAUGUAGGGACCUUUCCACGGUUUCUGUGUCGUAGCUAACGCAUUAAGCGCCCCGCCUGGGGAGUACGGCCGCAAGGCUAAAACUCAAAGGAAUUGACGGGGGCCCGCACAAGCGGCGGAGCAUGCGGAUUAAUUCGAUGCAACGCGAAGAACCUUACCAAGGCUUGACAUACACCGGAAACGGCCAGAGAUGGUCGCCCCCUUGUGGUCGGUGUACAGGUGGUGCAUGGUUGUCGUCAGCUCGUGUCGUGAGAUGUUGGGUUAAGUCCCGCAACGAGCGCAACCCUCGUUCUAUGUUGCCAGCGGGUUAUGCCGGGGACUCAUAGGAGACUGCCGGGGUCAACUCGGAGGAAGGUGGGGAUGACGUCAAAUCAUCAUGCCCCUUAUGUCUUGGGCUUCACGCAUGCUACAAUGGCCGGUACAAAGGGCUGCGAUACCGUAAGGUGGAGCGAAUCCCAAAAAGCCGGUCUCAGUUCGGAUUGAGGUCUGCAACUCGACCUCAUGAAGUCGGAGUCGCUAGUAAUCGCAGAUCAGCAACGCUGCGGUGAAUACGUUCCCGGGCCUUGUACACACCGCCCGUCAAGUCAUGAAAGUCGGUAACACCCGAAGCCGGUGGCCUAACCCUUGUGGAAGGAGCCGUCGAAGGUGGAUUCGGUAUUAAGGCCCCUC
RNAcentral lists this ribosomal RNA (1453 nucleotides) under Curtobacterium sp. X3. Its description in RNAcentral is "bacterial SSU rRNA". It matches the Rfam family "Bacterial small subunit ribosomal RNA". Lineage: Bacteria; Bacillati; Actinomycetota; Actinomycetes; Micrococcales; Microbacteriaceae. The record is from RNAcentral.